GCAGCGCUUACCUAGAAAGAUGUUUAAAUCUGAACCAGGAAUUGUCUCCAACUCCAGGCGCUCAGGGAAUCGCCUUUUCCGGUGUCCAGGCGCUCUGCAGACAAAUAAACAGCAGAAGCAAAUGGUCACUGAGCCGGCAGUCAGCUUUCUGGGAGUGGGAGAGGCUGGGGAAGGGGCAAAGAAUCGUCCGCUCGCCGGACCCUGGCUUGGAGAAGUUCUGCGCUCCGCUGGGACUCUGCGGGCCCUGUGUGUCUACAGACCUAUCCCUGCCCCCACUAGCCCUUCACUCAGACCCAGCUUUCCCCAGCGUGAAUCAGAACAUUACCAACUGUCUGCGCAUCCGUCCCACUUCAUCACCAAAGCCAGGAUGUCACCGCAGAAAACCCAAGCCCGAACUCACGUUUCCCCGGACGCGGCGCGCUCCCCAGACUCGCAGAAACCCUGCGGAAAAGGCCCCAAGACCUGGCGAGGGCCUGCCAGCUCCGUCCUCCCUGCCGAGGGCUCUCUCCUGCCUUCCUGAAGGAGUUAAAAGAUUUUGGAGAUAAAUCUGAGGGUGUGUGUUUUUAAAAAUCAAAUAAGCGAGAGUCCCCCAGACUGUCUCUAGCUGAUGCGUGUCUCUGGAGCUGAACAGUGGAAUGGCAGAAUUUCAAAACGCCUGAUGGUGGCAUUUGAAGGCUUCCCCCACCACCUACACUAGACACAAGAUUUGAGAGGAACAACACUUUACCAGCCAUUUGACCAAUUAAUUCUUUGGGGGUAAUUUUCUUGUGGUGGUUUAAAAUAAUGCACACAACGCAGG
RNAcentral lists this non-coding RNA (799 nucleotides) under Pongo abelii (Sumatran orangutan). Lineage: Eukaryota; Metazoa; Chordata; Mammalia; Primates; Hominidae. The record is from RNAcentral.